UUAAGUGAACAAGGGCAUACGGCGGAUGCCUUGGCGCCAAGAGCCGAUGAAGGACGCGGUAAGCUGCGAAAAGGCAUGGGUAGGAGCAAGCAUCCAGUGAUCCAUGCAUAUCCGAAUGGGGCAACCCACCAUCAGUCAUGUGAUGGUACGAAAGAGGCAGACCUGGGGAACUGAAACAUCUAAGUACCCAGAGGAAAAGUAAUCAAUUGAGAUUCCCUAAGUAGCGGCGAGCGAAAGGGGAAGAGCCCAAACCAUGAAACUUCGGUUUUGUGGGGUUGAGGACCGGCAAAAAGAGGAAACUUCUUAGUCGAAUGGUUUGGAAAGGCCAUGCACAGAAGGUAAAACACCUGUAGGCGAAAAGAAGUCAAUCGGGCUGGUAUCCAGAGUACUGCGAGACACGUGAAACCUUGCAGGAAGCAGGGGGGACCACCCUCCAAGGCAAAAUACUACUUGGCGACCGAUAGCGCAUAGUACCGUGAGGGAAAGGUGAAAAGAACCCCGGGAGGGGAGUGAAAUAGAACCUGAAACCGUAUGUCUACAAGCAGUCGAAGCACCUUAAGAGUGCGACGGCGUGCCUAUUGAAGAAUGAACCGGCGAGUUACAUUAUGUUGCGAGGUUAAGUGGGAGACACGGAGCCGAAGCGAAAGCGAGUCUUAAUAGGGCGACUAGUAACAUGGUGUAGACCCGAAACCGCAGUGAUCUAUCCAUGGUCAGGUUGAAGCGCAGGUAAAAAUGCGUGGAGGACCGAACCCGUGAGUGUUGAAAAACUUUGGGAUGAACCGUGGAUAGGGGUGAAAUGCCAAUCGAACGCGGAGAUAGCUGGUACUCCCCGAAAUAGCUUUAGGGCUAGCCUCAGGGAAGAUUAUAGACGGUAGAGCACUGAUCUGGCAAGGGGGCGUAAAGCCUACCGACCCUAGUCAAACUUCGAAUGGCUAUAAUUAAGACCCUGGGAGUCAGACUGCGAGUGAUAAGACCCGUAGUCAAGAGGGAAACAGCCCAGACCGCCGACUAAGGUCCCCAAUGCUGUACUAAGUGGAAAAGGAUGUAAGACUUCAUAAACAACCAGGAUGUUGGCUUAGAAGCAGCCACCAUUAAAAGAGUGCGUAAUAGCUCACUGGUCGAGAGGCCUUGCGCCGAAGAUGUCCGGGGCUCAAGUACAGAACCGAAGUCGCGGCAGGAUUAUAUAAUUCUGGGUAGGGGAGCGUUGUAUAUCCGACUGAAGGUGUACCGGAAGGAGCGCUGGAGGAUAUACAAGAGAGAAUGCCGGUAUGAGUAGCGAAAAGAACAGUGAGAAUCUGUUCCACCGAAAGCCUAAGGUUUCCUGAGCAACGCUCGUCGACUCAGGGUAAGUCGGGACCUAAGCCGAGGCAAAAAGCAUAGGCGAUGGACAACAGGUUAAUAUUCCUGUACCGCUUCAAAUCGUUUGAGCAAUGGAGUGACACAGAAGGUAGCUUGAGCACGCGAAUGGAUGUGCGUGUCGAAGGUGGUAGGUUGCAGUAUAGGUAAAUCCGUACUGUAUAAGACCGAGAACUGAUAGAUAGACGAUACUUCGGUAAAGUCAAAUUCAAGUGAGCCAUGCUGUCGAGAAAAGCUUCUAGUGAGAGAUGAGGCGCCCGUACCGAAACCGACACAGGUAGGCGGGGAGAGAAUCCUAAGGUGCGCGGGACAACCCUCGUUAAGGAACUCGGCAAAUUGUAUCCGUAACUUAGGGAUAAGGAUAGCCGGAGGAUGUGAAGGGAUUUACUUCUGGAGCGUCAGCCGGUGGCACAAGAGAGGCCCAAGCGACUGUUUAGCACAAACACAGGUGCCUGCAAAAGAGAAAUCUGACGUAUAGGUGCUGACACCUGCCCGGUGCUGGAAGGUUAAGAGGAGGGCUUAGAGGAAACUCGAAGGCUUGAAUUGAAGCCCCAGUAAACGGCGGCCGUAACUAUAACGGUCCUAAGGUAGCGAAAUUCCUUGUCGGGU
RNAcentral lists this ribosomal RNA (1965 nucleotides) under human gut metagenome. Its description in RNAcentral is "bacterial LSU rRNA". It matches the Rfam family "Bacterial large subunit ribosomal RNA", at positions 1 to 1977 of the family's 2925-position model. The record is from RNAcentral.